UGGGGAAUAUUGGACAAUGGGCGAAAGCCUGAUCCAGCCAUGCCGCGUGUGUGAAGAAGGUCUUCGGAUUGUAAAGCACUUUAAGUUGGGAGGAAGGGCAUUAACCUAAUACGUUAGUGUUUUGACGUUACCGACAGAAUAAGCACCGGCUAACUCUGUGCCAGCAGCCGCGGUAAUACAGAGGGUGCAAGCGUUAAUCGGAAUUACUGGGCGUAAAGCGCGCGUAGGUGGUUUGUUAAGUUGGAUGUGAAAUCCCCGGGCUCAAGCUGGGAACUGCAUUCAAAACUGAGUGACUAGAGUAUGGUAGAGGGUGGUGGAAUUUCCUGUGUAGCGGUGAAAUGCGUAGAUAUAGGAAGGAACACCAGUGGCGAAGGCGACCACCUGGACUAAUACUGACACUGAGGUGCGAAAGCGUGGGGAGCAAACA
This 427-nucleotide ribosomal RNA is filed under the name uncultured bacterium. RNAcentral describes it as "partial 16S ribosomal RNA". It matches the Rfam family "Bacterial small subunit ribosomal RNA", at positions 355 to 774 of the family's 1533-position model. The record is from RNAcentral.